RNAcentral lists this ribosomal RNA (555 nucleotides) under Bifidobacterium dentium. Its description in RNAcentral is "bacterial SSU rRNA". It matches the Rfam family "Bacterial small subunit ribosomal RNA", at positions 146 to 711 of the family's 1533-position model. The record is from RNAcentral. Lineage: Bacteria; Bacillati; Actinomycetota; Actinomycetes; Bifidobacteriales; Bifidobacteriaceae.
UCUCCUGGAAACGGGUGGUAAUGCCGGAUGCUCCGGUUGGAUGCAUGUCCUUCCGGGAAAGAUCCGUCGGUAUGGGAUGGGGUCGCGUCCUAUCAGCUUGAUGGCGGGGUAACGGCCCACCAUGGCUUCGACGGGUAGCCGGCCUGAGAGGGCGACCGGCCACAUUGGGACUGAGAUACGGCCCAGACUCCUACGGGAGGCAGCAGUGGGGAAUAUUGCACAAUGGGCGCAAGCCUGAUGCAGCGACGCCGCGUGCGGGAUGGAGGCCUUCGGGUUGUAAACCGCUUUUGAUCGGGAGCAAGCCCUUCGGGGUGAGUGUACCUUUCGAAUAAGCACCGGCUAACUACGUGCCAGCAGCCGCGGUAAUACGUAGGGUGCAAGCGUUAUCCGGAAUUAUUGGGCGUAAAGGGCUCGUAGGCGGUUCGUCGCGUCCGGUGUGAAAGCCCAUCGCUUAACGGUGGGUCUGCGCCGGGUACGGGCGGGCUGGAGUGCGGUAGGGGAGACUGGAAUUCCCGGUGUAACGGUGGAAUGUGUAGAUAUCGGAAAAGAACACCA